Gallus gallus (chicken) is the source of this 1170-nucleotide long non-coding RNA. Lineage: Eukaryota; Metazoa; Chordata; Aves; Galliformes; Phasianidae. The record is from Ensembl.
CAGGAAUCAAAAAUGCAGGUGCUCCUCCUCUGCAAAGCCCCAGCAGAGGCAAAGCAGCAGGACAGGCACUCUGACACAGGGCCCUAAGGAGAGAGAUGGGCAGAAAGCAGAUCCUCACAGCACCACAGUAAAGCAUCACUGUGUUCAUAGUCAGUUUAGCAUUUUUCAGCUCUAUGCAUGCUCCCCUGGCUCUGUGGAUGCAUCCAGCGGCUGAAAUCCUUCCCCCAGGCAGAGUUAGGUGUGCAUCCAAAGCAUUCAUUCAUCUCAGAGCUGGGACACUCUGCAGCACUGGAGCCAGCAGACAGGCAGCCCCAGGGCAAACCAUCCUCCAGACAGGGGCCAGGAGCAGGAUGGGCUCGAACAGGGCAUGGGGUCAAAGCUCACAUUUCCAGAAGCCCCCUAAGCAACACAGUCCUGCCUCCAAAAGCAGUACUGCUUUACAAGCACAGCAGUGUGUCCUUCCCAGGCACUACAGAUGGAUUUUCAAAGAUAUUUCAGUCCUCCAAGGUACAAAGUGAAGACUGGAGGGGUUCUCAAAGGCAGCUCCUUGAGCAACCCAGGUAUCUGCAUCCAUCAGGCUCCUCAAUUACUUUGGCACUCUGAAUGCUGCAGUGGCAGAGACAUUCCCAGGUUCCCCAGACAAAUAUUGUUCAGGAGCAGCAGUUUGGAGGAAGCAGAAGCUCUUCUGCAGCGCACGGCACACGUCAGCCUGGCAGAUCCAAGCUCCCUUGCUUUCAGGAAGUACAAGAUGUUCCAAGUGCUUUGCUGAACCAUCAGAAGUCCCAGCUUGCAUGAAGGGAAGAUGCUGCCCAGGUCUCCACGGUCAUGAAAAGCUCCAGAAACCAAACCUGGGAAGAAGCAUCGUUCUGGCAGCAGUGCCAAGCUUGUCCCAUCCAAUUUCACCACAUCCAGCCAGGGAAAGAAUGAAGGGAAAGGGUGUUUGGGCAGCAUCAAAGGGGGAACAGGGGCACCUGGGAGGGACUUGGUGCUUUCUGCGCACUCUACUGUCCCCAUGCAUUAAUUACCCCACAUGGACAUGUUUUCAGGAUACAAAAAGCAGGCAGAUGAGCUCCCCCAGCAUCCUCGGAGAUGGGAAAACCCAGAGCACAGCACAUCAGGGGAAACAAAUUCCCACAUUAAACCCCCUUGCUUCUCUCUUCUUCCUGAUCA